RNAcentral lists this ribosomal RNA (450 nucleotides) under uncultured bacterium. Its description in RNAcentral is "partial 16S ribosomal RNA". It matches the Rfam family "Bacterial small subunit ribosomal RNA", at positions 354 to 796 of the family's 1533-position model. The record is from RNAcentral.
GUGGGGAAUAUUGGACAAUGGGCGAAAGCCUGAUCCAGCCGUGCCGCGUGUGUGAAGAAGGUCUUCGGAUUGUAAAGCACUUUAAGUUGGGAGGAAGGGCAGUAAGUUAAUACCUUGCUGUUUUGACGUUACCGACAGAAUAAGCACCGGCUAACUUCGUGCCAGCAGCCGCGGUAAUACGAAGGGUGCAAGCGUUAAUCGGAAUUACUGGGCGUAAAGCGCGCGUAGGUGGUUUUGUAAGUUGGAGGUGAAAUCCCCGGGCUCAACCUGGGAACUGCCUCCAAAACUGCAUGACUAGAGUACGGUAGAGGGUAGUGGAAUUUCCUGUGUAGCGGUGAAAUGCGUAGAUAUAGGAAGGAACACCAGUGGCGAAGGCGACUACCUGGACUGAUACUGACACUGAGGUGCGAAAGCGUGGGGAGCAAACAGGAUUAGAAACCCUGGUAGUCC